GAGAGAAAAAAAGAAAGCCAGCAGGGCAGAGGAAGCUGCAGGCCUUCAGAAACACAGCCGCACUCUGGAAAGGAAAACAUACUGCCUUUCAUCUCCAGGCCUAUCUGCACCAGCCGCUCCCUCUGCCGCUGUCUUAUGGACCACUGCAGGACACAGGCAUCAUCAAAGGCUGUGACCUGGUGUCAUCAGCCACCAGCUAUGAAACCCGAAGAACAUCCUUGGGAGAGAGAGGACACCUGCCCCUUUUCGCCACUAUGAAGAGAGUGAUUGUGUGGACUGACAGAGCCUGCAAUGGCAGUAAACAAGAGCUUUGAAAGGGGAAGGAAGCCAGGAGAAAGCCAGCUCCAUUAGUCACGCAGCUGCAUAUCCUGUCACAAAGGACCCCAGUUGAGUAAUCGCCCAAAAAUAUGCCUGUUAUUUUUUUUCUGUCAGAAAAAAAUGGGGCCUGCCAAAAUGUACUGUAAAAAAAAAAAAAGAAAAAAUCUGGUCAUUCAGCCCCAGAAGGGGGAAAGAAAAUAAAGAAGAAACAGGCGCGGCUUGGAAGUGUUCUUCCAACUUUUCCCCGCUUGUCUUUGCAAGAAAAAGCUCUCAAACUGCUCAUGGGACCGAGCUUGCAGUGGUGGAGGACAGCUGGCUCCUUGGAGACCCUGCUCCCAGAGUCCUUGCUGUCAUGGGGUGCCCAGAUGUUAAGAAGGCAAUGACAAUGGAAGAAGGCAGCAGGAAGCAAGGGAGAGAGCGAAGAAAGGGAGUCCAGAGAGCAAAUAAGUCUUCUGAAGAUCCUUAUAUGAGGACUUCAGGGCUCCACCGUGAACCUGUGGCAGUCCACACCUGUUCCAAGAGCCCUGAUGAACCCUGGAGGGGCACUGACUUCCGUCCAUCAACCACACCUGCCUCACUGUCCACGGGCAGCUUUUCUAAUGGGCUCAGCAAAACCAACUUUGACUCGGGUCUAAGCCAUCUUUGUGAUGUUUGGGCUACAGAUGGAACGAGAGCAGGCAUAUAAGGAUAUCUGACUUGGGGACAGGCUGAAGAAUUGAGGCUCAAAAUCCAGCAAGGAUACAUGCAUCUCAGCUACUGAGGCAGGAGGAUUAUUUGAGCUUAUGAAUUCAAGGUUCAAAAGGGCUAGGUGUUCUGCAAGGUGGUUCAGUGAGUAAAGGCUUAGCACUAAAACUGAGGACCUGAGUUCCAUCGCCGGGAUCCACAUGGUGUAAGGAAACAACCAACUGCCAUGGCAACCUAAAACAUCUUAAAAAGUCAUGUGAUUUUUAAAUUUUUAAGAGAGAAGAAAAGACCAAGUGGUGGUGGCACACGACUUUAGUCCCAGCACUGAGCAGGCAGAAGCAGGAGGAUCUCUGAGCAGCCGAGGAGACCUUUGCAGGAACUAGCAUCCAGCUAUGCAGCUACUCCCUCCUCAGCCCAAAGACCAAGCUCGGGUCCCCUGCAGAUUGCUGUAGAAAAAAGCUCAGUUAUAUCAGAACCAGGACUUUCUUCAGCCCUUCCAUUUUUCUGAUCCUGUCUGAGGUAUCCACUCUGACCAAAGCCUGCUCUGAGAGGAGAGUACAUGGGGGAACACUUCAAACUAUGGUUACAUAGGAAUACUAUUGCAGCCCGGAUACAGCAAGGAGGGCCUAGGCCCUCCCCCAAACGAUAUGACAGACUUUGAAGGUCCCUGGUGGAGGGCCUCACUAUCCCUGGG
RNAcentral lists this long non-coding RNA (1696 nucleotides) under Cricetulus griseus (Chinese hamster). Its description in RNAcentral is "lncRNA (ENSCGRG00015029340.1)". The record is from RNAcentral. Lineage: Eukaryota; Metazoa; Chordata; Mammalia; Rodentia; Cricetidae.